AAGCAGUGGGAGCACAGGUUUACCUGUGUGACUGCGUACCUUUUGUAUAAUGGGUCAGCGACUUAUAUUCUGUAGCAAGGUUAACCGAAUAGGGGAGCCGGAGGGAAACCGAGUCUUAAUUGGGCGUUAAGUUGCAGGGUAUAGACCCGAAACCCGGUGAUCUAGCCAUGGGCAGGUUGAAGGUUGGGUAACACUAACUGGAGGACCGAACCGACUAAUGUUGAAAAAUUAGCGGAUGACCUGUGGCUGGGGGUGAAAGGCCAAUCAAACCGGGAGAUAGCUGGUUCUCCCCGAAAGCUAUUUAGGUAGCGCCUCGUGAAUUCAUCUCCGGGGGUAGAGCACUGUUUCGGCUAGGGGGCCAUCCCGGCUUACCAACCCGAUGCAAACUGCGAAUACCGGAGAAUGUUAUCACGGGAGACACACGGCGGGUGCUAACGUCCGUCGUGAAGAGGGAAACAACCCAGACCGCCAGCUAAGGUCCCAAAGUCAUGGUUAAGUGGGAAACGAUGUGGGAAGGCCCAGACAGCCAGGAUGUUGGCUUAGAAGCAGCCAUCAUUUAAAGAAAGCGUAAUAGCUCACUGGUCGAGUCGGCCUGCGCGGAAGAUGUAACGGGGCUAAACCAU
Molecule: ribosomal RNA, 623 nt
Filed under: Salmonella enterica
Lineage: Bacteria; Pseudomonadati; Pseudomonadota; Gammaproteobacteria; Enterobacterales; Enterobacteriaceae
Also listed under: 1 other name
Description: partial 23S ribosomal RNA
Rfam family: Bacterial large subunit ribosomal RNA
Source: RNAcentral